Molecule: long non-coding RNA, 594 nt
Filed under: Homo sapiens (human)
Lineage: Eukaryota; Metazoa; Chordata; Mammalia; Primates; Hominidae
Description: HSALNT0312432
Source: RNAcentral
GAUUUUAAACUGUGGAGCACGUCAAGAGAAAGCUCACUGAUCUGCCGAGGGUUUGUGCUUUUCUGUCUUCAUGCAUCUGUUGUGGGUGAAGAGAGCAAAGAUUCUUCAUUCAAUCAAAGGCCCCCUUUGGAGAUGCUGAGAAGGAAAUUUCCUUUGGAAAUUCCCAAAGGCAGAUGAGAGUGGAGGUUGUAAAUCACCCUCCAUGCAAUGGUUCAUCAUAAAGGAUAUGGAGCAAAAUUAGAGGAGGCACGAGAAGGAAAGCCGGUGAUGAACAAGGAAAGUGCCUGGUUGAAGCUAGCUUGCAAUCCCAAAGUCAGAAGGUUGCCUGGGAAGCCAUGAAACAAAGCCAAAUCAAGGCAAAGCAGACACAUGGAGAUUUUGAGACUGAGAAGAGGAAAACUGAGGACAUUCAUGUGAGAUGGUUUCAAGUUUCCCUUAGAAGGAGAAGUUAUCUUCAGAAGGUCAGGUUGGUGAGGUGGGAGUUCAAAAACAACAAAGUAUGUAGCUACCAUUGUGAGGAAGACCAUGGAAAAUGGACGAAUCAGAAUGAAAGGCUUUCUGAACAAGAGUAAGUACCCCCACUGAUGUGGCUUG